AGGAGCAGCUGUGGCGGCGCGGUAGGAGCCCCACAGCGUCAGGGCGGGGAGGGCGCUUGGAGAUCCCCCGGGUCGGCCCCCUCCGCACCCCGAUCGACUGAGGCCCGGAGAGUUCAGGAACCGGCUCGGGAGACCUCAGCGCCCGAACUCGGAGUUUUCGGACUUUUCAGGCCUCUGCCAAGGGCUUGGACUCGCAGGUGAAAGGACGGGCUCAUCUCACUUUUUUGUCCUGAGAGGAUGGUGGAAAGCUGCACUUGAAGUCCAACUCUGUCCUGGGGGAAUAAUUAUGUUCCCUGUCUUGGGAGCCUUUCUUCAGGGAGCUUGAUGGUUCCAACCCACCCAGGAGCCUGGGACAUCUGUGCCCCUGGGCAAUCCCCUGCAGUUUCCUGAUUCCAAGAUGAGGGGGUAGAAUCCGAAGAUCUCCAAGGCCUUGAUGAGUGCUACCAGUCUGCAAAUUCCCAAGCCAAGUUCUUCAAUGAAUCAAAUUUCCUCCAGUAGCCAUUUCUACCAAAGGAGCAACUGUUUUUCCUUCCCACUGACAUGGCUAUGUAUUCGAACUGGAUAUAGGUGAGAGGCAUUUUUGUCCUAGCUUCUCGGGCCCCUCCAAGGAGCUCCAAGAGGCUUAAGGAUCCCAGCCAUGUUGGGAUAAAAAUACCCAAUCAAUCAAUAAACAUUUUAUUUAAAAAUGAUUUAUUUAAAAAAUCACACAAUUUGAGAGCAAAUACAGAAGAUAUGAAUUAGCAAAACGAACAAAAUUAAAAUCUCAUACAAUCGCAGGACACUGGGACCUGAAGUCUUGGAGAGGAUGUAAUCACUAAGUCAUCCCAAGGAAGAGUGGGAUGCCUACAAGAGAGGGAUGCCUACAAGAGAGGGAUGCCUAAAUUGGUUACCCCUAAGCCCACCGACUUUUAAGGCAUGUGUAAGUGAGUGGGAACCUGCAAAAAGACUGGAAGGAGCAGCCAGAGAGGUAGGAAGAAAACCAGGAGUGCCUGUUGUCACGGAAGCUGAGGGCAAGGAGGACAGUGGUUGGGAGAAUCUGAUGCAGCAGCUCCAAGGACCAUGGCCCCAGGAACUAGGCACAAGUGACAGGAGACACUUGCUAUGUCUAAACCCAGUGCACCCUCAGCCCGGCCUCGCCUUUUCAAGGACGGCUAGCACAGGCCAUCAUCCUGGCCCACGAUGAAGGUGAGCAUCAAACUCCAAUUUCUGAAGAGGAAACUGAAGACCAGAGAGGGGAGGUAAACAUCCCAAAGUCACCAGCAAGUCAGUGGGAGACACAACUUUAACCCUAGUUUUGACUGGCAGUCUGUGGGCAUCGAGGCCACCAUUCCAUGUACCUAAUGUGUGUCUGGCAGUGUUCCAGGCCUCACCUGCAUCAUUUCUAAUCCUCUCAACCAGAGGAUCAGAGAGGUGGCGUUUUUACCCCUAGUACACAGAGGAGGCGCUUGGGGUUCAGAGGCACGUGUGGAACUAGACCGACGCCACUCACCCCAGCAGGUGGCCAAGCGGGAUGGGAGCGCGGGUCUCCCCAUCCCCAGCGGUGACGGGCGGCGGCUCUUUCCUGAAGAAUGGGGCGGCGUCCGCAACGGGAACCGCUGGAGGCGCUCCCCGGGACCCUGGCCCGCCCUCGCCCCCGCGCAUGCCUGGCCGCUGAGGCGUGAGAGCCGCCGCCCGGGGCCUCCCCCCGCGCGCCUUGCACAACCGGCCCAGGUAAGUGCUGCGUCUCUGGGCAAUUAUCGCCCUCCCGCCGCCGGGGCUGGCCGCGCACAGGGCCCACGGCCAAGGCACUCGCAGCCACCCAAGGAGAGCUGCACGGUCUACGACGGCCGCCAGCGCGCGCGAUUUCACAAGGCCCGGGAGCGGGGACGGGGCGGGGCGGCGGGGGCGGUGACGUCACGCGCAGCCACGCCCCGCGGUUGCCCCGCCCCCGCGCUGGGCCGGGCCUGGGGAGGAAGCGAUGCGAGGCCACCUGUCCACCUGCGCCGCUUCGUCCUUCCUCCUCCUCCUCCCUGUCAGCUGUUUUUCUUUCUUCCCAUCUCCCAUCUCUUCCUUUUUAUCCCUCUCAUUCCUCCCUCUUUCCGUCCGUUUCCUUCUCCCUUCCCCAUCUCCUUCCUUUUAAUUUUC
This 2124-nucleotide long non-coding RNA is filed under the name Homo sapiens (human). RNAcentral describes it as "non-protein coding PTCSC2:5". Lineage: Eukaryota; Metazoa; Chordata; Mammalia; Primates; Hominidae. The record is from RNAcentral.